Molecule: long non-coding RNA, 3799 nt
Filed under: Octopus vulgaris (common octopus)
Lineage: Eukaryota; Metazoa; Mollusca; Cephalopoda; Octopoda; Octopodidae
Source: RNAcentral
CUGUGUCACUCAUACUCACACAUAUAAAUAUAUAGACACAGUCAAACACACACAUUCAUCUAUAUAAACACUUACAUGCAUACAGAAACACACACACAUAUAUAUAGAAUCAUUCACCGCCAUUUCCACAUUGUCACACAAUCUAGGUGAUGUACCACAUAGGCUGCCGUGAGUUUCAUUUAUUUUUUCAUUAAUUAAUAUUAUAAUUACUGUUAUUUACCUUUCUCUUGUUUAUAUGGGAUUAAUGUAUUUCUAUCUCCAUUACGCUGUAACUCCUUCGUCCGAGUUGGGACGAAAAUCUAGAAAAACAAAAAUUAAACUUAAAACCAGAAUUAAACGGCGCGGGUUUCCUACUUUGAAAUUGUUUUGAAGAACUCCAUUCAAUUCGCCUUCGUCUUUUCAUCAACAUAAUCACUCACCUUGUUGAAUUUUCGCCAACAAUCAUUUCCCAGUCGUAUAGUUAUUUGUAUUGUAAUAAUAUAGUGAUUUAUGUUUAAUAAUAAUAAUAAUCCUUUCUAAUAAAGGCUCUAGAUCUGAAAUUUAGAGGGAAGGGAUAGACUAUUACAUCGACCUUAGUACGCAACUGGUACUUAUUUUAUCGAUCCUCAAAGUUGACUUUAAAAAUAUAUAUUGAUGACUAACCCAUUUCUGUAAACUAUACUGUCGUUUAAUUUUAAUAUUAACCUCGCACAAACUUAAACUUUAUCACAAAUGUUAGUAACAUCGAUGCAACUUUUUACAAUGUGUAACGAUUACGCUAUAGACAAGGUGUUUUAUUUUAGAAAGGUUGUCCUUUUAGUGUAGGCUGUGUGACAGGGACCAGCGACUUGGUGAAACUUGAGCAGCGAGGCACCGAACUAGAUAUUCUUUUAUUUCUAGCGAUCCACGGCUGUUUUGUUAACAAAGUCCUCUUAAUUUCGUUACUUUUUGGAUAACUAAUUGGCGGUCUUCCGUUUCAUGUACCUGUAAUGAAGGACAACAAAGUGAAAGGAGAACAAAUGCCAGUACACAGUAAGCUAUAGACUUUAUUUGGUAAAUUCUUACAAUAUAUUCCAUAUAUUAAAUACUAUAGAAGGAACUUCGAAAGUAAAUAUUGCCUCUGUCUUUUCAACUUCUAAGAAUUUACCUGGCCCCGUAGAGAAGGGGAAAUCACUGAAUCAAUAUUCAUCGCUUCAAUUGUUAAAGUAUUUAGGAGGGAGAGAGAGAGAGAAACAGCUGGAUAUCCCAAACUUGCAUCAUAAAUCUGAGCUAAUUCCUGCAUAAAAUUCAUUACUGUGUUAUCAUCAGGUUGUUGUCAUUUAUGAAGUUCAUCUAUAAUCAAAGACAUUCCAAUUGUGACCAACAUGUCGAUUUUGGGGGAGGAUGAAGUAGGGCAUAGUAACAGGACAUCAUGAUAGAAUGUAAAAGAAAAACAAUAGAAUCAGAAGAAAAUAGUGUGUCAGGAAUAGUAAAUUCACAAGGUUCAAGAAGAAUGAAGUAUUUUGCUAUGCAGAAGAAAAGUUUAACAUUUUUUGCCAGAACUUUUCAGACAUGAACAGUUUAUUCAAUAUAUCUCCACUUUUUCAAGGUAGCAGGGUUUGAUUUGAGAGAGAUUUCGUUGCUUUUUCUUGCAGGUUGAGCGCCCACGUAGAAGCAUCCCCAAUGGUUUUGAUUACACAAGGAUAUAUUAAUAAUUUGCUCAGUAUUUCAUUAUGAAGGACUGGUUAUUUUAUCUUUCAUACUUCUUGGAUCGUGAAGGAGAUUUGACAGCAAUUUCUAGCAGGUCAAACAGUUGUGUUGACUCUAUAAUGUUAUUAUGAUUGUUCGUUGACAUCUUUACCUUUUCAACUUCCCGAGGGUGAUGAAAUAAAGUACCAGUUAAGUACUGGGUCAAUGUAACCGAUUGAUCCCUUCUUAUAAUUACGAGACCUUGUGUCGAUGUAAGAAAUCGUCAUUAUUAUUUUGCUAGGAUAGUAGACAAAGUGGAUAGAUUAGCUAAUUAUCACUCUACAAGAUGAGUUCAAGAAGUACUGUUGGGGUUGACUUUACAUUUUAUUCAGCGUAUGUCGUUAAAAUAUUUACCACUCAACUGGGUUCAGCUAUUUCACGCCUGUCCUCUACAAAUUGUUGGCCUUCUCAUUUAAUCAGUUUUUUUUUUAAAGUAAUUUAUAAAAUGUUUGCUUUCCUUUUUUCAACUUUAAUUGUAGAAAUGAUUUUGCUUUUUUUGUUUACUUGUAUCUUUUCUAAAGUAGUUACUUUAGAAUCUUAUCUCUGAACACGUAUGUGUACUGUAAAUCACUGCAAACCUCCACCAUUCUACCGAUGAUAAUAAACUCUACUUGAUUGUUCCACUAAUUGAUGCUUGUUGAAGAUAUAUUUGCACUUGUAAUCACGUUGUAUUAAUAACAAUUUCACUUUCAUGAGUAUACAGUAUUUUGUUAUUGAGGGUUUUUUUUUAGAUGUGAGCCCGCUUUGUACAAUACUUUUUAAUUCUAUUUAAAUAUUGUUUUAUGGACACCUCUGUAUGUAUGCGUACGCAUACAUUGGUAUAUUUACACAUACACGCACAGGUAUGUUUAUGACCACACGUUAAUAUGCAAAAGUAAACCGACCCAGUAAUAUCUCGUAUUGUUCCGCGCUUCUACCUUUCCAAUUGAAGAACCCCUUCUCAGGUGUUUCUCAGACGUACACGUAACAUUAUUAAGUAGUAGGGGUAAAAAUUGAAGUACUGUCUCUAAUAAUGUAUUGUUUAUUUGUGUAUCUAGCAGUCUCUCUUCUAGUAAACUAAUCAAAUAUUCCAUGCGAAACGCCAACUCUUAAAAUGGAUUGCUGAUUGAUCUGUUUUUUGUUUACUUUCUAAUUAUAAGCCAGGCAACACUCACCCACAAAUUGUAAGAUCGCUAUAACUAGCAGCUACUCUGCUUAGCUGAAUAACUAGUACUGCUUUAUCUCGGUUUAAAUUAGCUUGCAUGUCCAGAAAGAUUUAAUAAAUGACUUUAAUACAGGACAGAUCAUUAAACCACUUUUGUGCUAAGUUUUGGAAUGUCACUAUUAUGAAAACAUUCAAAGCUCUGUGGAAAUAAUAAUAAAAAGAGAAAUUGUUAUUUAUUACCUUUUUUUUUAUAUAAACAUAUUCGGUUUCGAAAUUAAUGACAAAUUUUACCACACACACACAAAAGAAAAAAGUGCUUAUUUGAUGUUCAUGUCUUUCCACCAAGACAGUGAGUGAAACAGUCAACUAGUUUGCAGAGUUGGCUGAAGGACAAUUUACAUUAAUUUGGUGCUAUAUACCAAAAUUGUGUUUUUCUUAAGCCAGUCAAAUACCUGUCUUUGUCAGAUACAGCUUGUCAAGACAAUUGGUUCAAACCUGGCAACUAUUUAGAGAUGAAAACAAUUCUUAUGGAAUUUGUAAAGCAACUAAUUGCAGCAUUCCUCUAUUUAAGUCAGCUCUAUUGACUAUAAACUGUAGAAUCUGAUAGAAAUACAUUUGAUAUAGUUCAAUUAUUUCCCAUAUAUGAGUAAUCAUCAAUAGAAUUAAAAAUGACUUGGGAUCUCAUAGAACAAUUGGUAUAUCUAUGGAGUGUAUAUGUGGAAAUACUUAUUGGGCAACAGCCUCCUGAGCUAAGUCUGAGACACUAGGUCAAUGUCAGUUUGGGACACUUACUUGACUCCUCAUGAAUAUGAUUUCCAGUUGGCCAUAAUCUAGACCUGGGCUGGUUCUGCCAUGCUGAUUUGCCUUUGUAGUGCUACCUAUUGUGUAGUAUAUACACAUAUACACCACAUCAAAUGUAUUUCAAUCUGAUUCUUGUUUUGCUGGCUC